This is a long non-coding RNA of Pongo pygmaeus (Bornean orangutan), 337 nucleotides long. RefSeq lists it as uncharacterized. NCBI's taxonomy places the organism in Eukaryota, Metazoa, Chordata, Mammalia, Primates, Hominidae. The record is from RefSeq and is a predicted model, not a curated record. The transcript is spliced from 2 exons.
UGGAAAUGGCUUCUUUACUUGAAGUCUGCUAAGAUGUCACUGAAAAUAUUGAGGAACAGGUGAGCGUGGUGAUCCCUGAAGACCAGCGUGGGACGAAAACGAAUGGAUUUGUCACCACAGCCACCCAACACCACACCUGAAAGAGGCAGGAGGACUUAAAAUUGCAAUGGAUUGUUUGUGAAAUGCCGUGUGUAAAGCCAUGCCUUCCUGCUACACUGCAUGCUUCCUGAAGGAAAGGGCUCUGAUGGUCUUCAGCAUCACUGUAACUGUCUCCAGUGUCCACUUACAACUCACCUCCUCAGUGAACACUUGUUGAGUAAAUAAAUGGAUAAAGAAA